RNAcentral lists this long non-coding RNA (699 nucleotides) under Salvator merianae (Argentine black and white tegu). RNAcentral describes it as "lncRNA (ENSSMRG00000000719.1)". Lineage: Eukaryota; Metazoa; Chordata; Lepidosauria; Squamata; Teiidae. The record is from RNAcentral.
GCUGUGCUCACCCACACAGGAUGUGGGGGAGGCAGGGCCUGCUGCUCAGGGUGUGUGCCUCUGAACUGCACAGCUGACCCACGCGCUGACAGCAAUGUUAGAUGAUACUCAGUCGCCUUCACCUGAUCCCAGUGAGGAACAAGACCCAAUCUACUUCAAUCUGGAGGAGAUGAAGCAACCAGCAACAAUGCCCUGUAGUCCUCGCAGCCCUCCAUUACAGGUGCUUGAAACUUGGGAACGACAUGUAGAUUCUGCUUCCCUACGCAGCUAUUACUACAAGCCAACAACGGGUGAGAAGUCAUGGAAGCCACCACGGAGGAGCCAAGAGAUGGAUCACGUCCCCCUAGCCCCAGGAGACCUUGGUGUGGAUGAAAUCCUGGACAGGGGAGAAGGCAGAGCAAGGGCUGAGCAGCCUGGCACCCGAGGUCUCGGGAAUAGAGACAAGAAGCUUGGCUACACGAAAUCCAUGGUGCUGCCGGAGUCACGAGGAUUCAAAGGGACCCAUCGACGGAACCUUUCUCAACACAGUUGUGAGGCUUGGCUAGGGGAAUAUCCUGUAUCAGCACCUACCAAUGGGUCCCCCUCUGACAACCCUGACCUGCUGCAUAUGGUGGAGAAAGUUGGGCAGCUGAACAAAACCAAGAUUGCAGAAGGAGGCCGGAAACUCAGGUAAUCAGCUGGACUCCUUCAUGGUAAGAA